UCCUACGGGGGGCAACAGUAGGGAAUUUUCGUCAAUGGGCGCAAGCCUGAACGAGCAAUGCCGCGUGAACGAGGAAGGUCUUCGGAUCGUAAAGUUCUGUUGAAGGGGAAAAAGAGCGGAGAGAGGAAAUGGUCUCCGAUUGAUAUUACCCUUCGAGGAAGUCACGGCUAACUACGUGCCAGCAGCCGCGGUAAUACGUAGGUGGCGAGCGUUAUCCGGAAUGAUUGGGCGUAAAGGGUGCGUAGGCGGCCUGCUAAGUCUGGAGUGAAAGGUACCGGCUCAACCGGUACAGGCUCUGGAAACUG
Molecule: ribosomal RNA, 305 nt
Filed under: uncultured bacterium
Lineage: Bacteria
Description: bacterial SSU rRNA
Rfam family: Bacterial small subunit ribosomal RNA
Source: RNAcentral